This 482-nucleotide ribosomal RNA is filed under the name uncultured bacterium. RNAcentral's name for it is "partial 16S ribosomal RNA". It matches the Rfam family "Bacterial small subunit ribosomal RNA", at positions 30 to 507 of the family's 1533-position model. The record is from RNAcentral.
AUUGAACGCUGGCGGCAUGCUUUACACAUGCGAGUCGAACGGUAACAGGCCGCAAGGUGCUGACGAGUGGCGGACGGGUGCGUAAUGCAUCGGAACGUGCCCAGUCGUGGGGGAUAACUACUCGAAAGAGUAGCUAAUACCGCAUACGAUCUAUGGAUGAAAGCGGGGGACCGUAAGGCCUCGCGCGAUUGGAGCGGCCGAUGUCAGAUUAGGUAGUUGGUGGGGUAAAGGCUCACCAAGCCAACGAUCUGUAGCUGGUCUGAGAGGACGACCAGCCACACUGGGACUGAGACACGGCCCAGACUCCUACGGGAGGCAGCAGUGGGGAAUUUUGGACAAUGGGCGCAAGCCUGAUCCAGCAAUGCCGCGUGCAGGAAGAAGGCCUUCGGGUUGUAAACUGCUUUUGUACGGAACGAAACGGCUCUGGUUAAUACCCGGGGCUAAUGACGGUACCGUAAGAAUAAGCACCGGCUAACUACGUG